RNAcentral lists this ribosomal RNA (367 nucleotides) under uncultured organism. RNAcentral describes it as "bacterial LSU rRNA". It matches the Rfam family "Bacterial large subunit ribosomal RNA", at positions 2099 to 2465 of the family's 2925-position model. The record is from RNAcentral.
CUUUACUGUAGCCUGGAAUGGGGUUCGGGCUUUGCUUGCGCAGGAUAGGUGGGAGGCUGAGAAGAUUCUCUUGUGGGAGAGUUGGAGCCAACGGUGAGAUACCACUCUGGCGAAGCUAGAAUUCUAACCCAUGACCAUUAUCUGGUCAGGGAACAGUUUCAGGUGGGCAGUUUGACUGGGGCGGUCGCCUCCUAAAAUGUAACGGAGGCGCGCAAAGGUUCCCUCAGGCUGGUUGGAAAUCAGUCGAAGAGUGCAAAGGCAUAAGGGAGCUUGACUGCAAGACCUACAAGUCGAGCAGAGACGAAAGUCGGCCUUAGUGAUCCGACGGCGCUGAAUGGAAGGGCCGUCGCUCAACGGAUAAAAGUUA